AUUGAACGCUGGCGGCAGGCCUAACACAUGCAAGUCGAACGGUAACAGAAAGCAGCUUGCUGCUUUGCUGACGAGUGGCGGACGGAUGAGUAAUGUCUGGGAAACUGCCUGAUGGAGGGGGAUAACUACUGGAAACGGUAGCUAAUACCGCAUAACGUCGCAAGACCAAAGAGGGGGACCUUCGGGCCUCUUGCCAUCGGAUGUGGCCAGAUGGGAUUAGCUAGUAGGUGGGGUAACGGCUCACCUAGGCGACGAUCCCUAGCUGGUCUGAGAGGAUGACCAGCCACACUGGAACUGAGACACGGUCCAGACUCCUACGGGAGGCAGCAGUGGGGAAUAUUGCACAAUGGGCGCAAGCCUGAUGCAGCCAUGCCGCGUGUAUGAAGAAGGCCUUCGGGUUGUAAAGUACUUUCAGCGGGGAGGAAGGGAGUAAAGUUAAUACCUUUGCUCAUUGACGUUACCCGCAGAAGAAGCACCGGCUAACUCCGUG
RNAcentral lists this ribosomal RNA (490 nucleotides) under uncultured bacterium. Its description in RNAcentral is "partial 16S ribosomal RNA". It matches the Rfam family "Bacterial small subunit ribosomal RNA", at positions 30 to 507 of the family's 1533-position model. The record is from RNAcentral.